This 72-nucleotide transfer RNA is filed under the name Camelus bactrianus (Bactrian camel). It matches the Rfam family "tRNA". From Rfam's summary of the family: Transfer RNA (tRNA) molecules are approximately 80 nucleotides in length. Their secondary structure includes four short double-helical elements and three loops (D, anti-codon, and T loops). The record is from Rfam by way of RNAcentral. RNAcentral also lists the same sequence under 1 other name. Lineage: Eukaryota; Metazoa; Chordata; Mammalia; Artiodactyla; Camelidae.
GAGGGUAUGGCUCAGUGGUAGAGCAUGUGCUUAGCAUGCAUGAGGUCCUGGGUUCAAUCCCCAGUACCUCCA